Molecule: ribosomal RNA, 497 nt
Filed under: uncultured bacterium
Lineage: Bacteria
Description: partial 16S ribosomal RNA
Rfam family: Bacterial small subunit ribosomal RNA
Source: RNAcentral
GAUGAACGCUGGCGGCGUGCCUAAUACAUGCAAGUCGAGCGAACAGACGAGGAGCUUGCUCCUUUGACAUUAGCGGCGGACGGGUGAGUAACACGUAGGUAACCUACCUAUAAGACUGGGAUAACUUCGGGAAACCGGAGCUAAUACCGGAUAAUAUUUCGAACCGCAUGGUUCGAUAGUGAAAGAUGGCUUUGCUAUCACUUAUAGAUGGACCUGCGCCGUAUUAGCUAGUUGGUAAGGUAACGGCUUACCAAGGCAACGAUACGUAGCCGACCUGAGAGGGUGAUCGGCCACACUGGAACUGAGACACGGUCCAGACUCCUACGGGAGGCAGCAGUAGGGAAUCUUCCGCAAUGGGCGAAAGCCUGACGGAGCAACGCCGCGUGAGUGAUGAAGGUCUUCGGAUCGUAAAACUCUGUUAUUAGGGAAGAACAAACGUGUAAGUAACUGUGCACGUCUUGACGGUACCUAAUCAGAAAGCCACGGCUAACUACGUG